Molecule: ribosomal RNA, 1371 nt
Filed under: Helicobacter pylori
Lineage: Bacteria; Pseudomonadati; Campylobacterota; Epsilonproteobacteria; Campylobacterales; Helicobacteraceae
Description: bacterial SSU rRNA
Rfam family: Bacterial small subunit ribosomal RNA
Source: RNAcentral
GCCUAAUACAUGCAAGUCGAACGAUGAAGCUUCUAGCUUGCUAGAAUGCUGAUUAGUGGCGCACGGGUGAGUAACGCAUAGGUUAUGUGCCUCUUAGUUUGGGAUAGCCAUUGGAAACGAUGAUUAAUACCAGAUACUCCCUACGGGGGAAAGAUUUAUCGCUAAGAGAUCAGCCUAUGUCCUAUCAGCUUGUUGGUAAGGUAAUGGCUUACCAAGGCUAUGACGGGUAUCCGGCCUGAGAGGGUGAACGGACACACUGGAACUGAGACACGGUCCAGACUCCUACGGGAGGCAGCAGUAGGGAAUAUUGCUCAAUGGGGGAAACCCUGAAGCAGCAACGCCGCGUGGAGGAUGAAGGUUUUAGGAUUGUAAACUCCUUUUGUUAGAGAAGAUAAUGACGGUAUCUAACGAAUAAGCACCGGCUAACUCCGUGCCAGCAGCCGCGGUAAUACGGAGGGUGCAAGCGUUACUCGGAAUCACUGGGCGUAAAGAGCGCGUAGGCGGGAUAGUCAGUCAGGUGUGAAAUCCUAUGGCUUAACCAUAGAACUGCAUUUGAAACUACUAUUCUAGAGUGUGGGAGAGGUAGGUGGAAUUCUUGGUGUAGGGGUAAAAUCCGUAGAGAUCAAGAGGAAUACUCAUUGCGAAGGCGACCUGCUGGAACAUUACUGACGCUGAUUGCGCGAAAGCGUGGGGAGCAAACAGGAUUAGAUACCCUGGUAGUCCACGCCCUAAACGAUGGAUGCUAGUUGUUGGAGGGCUUAGUCUCUCCAGUAAUGCAGCUAACGCAUUAAGCAUCCCGCCUGGGGAGUACGGUCGCAAGAUUAAAACUCAAAGGAAUAGACGGGGACCCGCACAAGCGGUGGAGCAUGUGGUUUAAUUCGAAGAUACACGAAGAACCUUACCUAGGCUUGACAUUGAGAGAAUCCGCUAGAAAUAGUGGAGUGUCUGGCUUGCUAGACCUUGAAAACAGGUGCUGCACGGCUGUCGUCAGCUCGUGUCGUGAGAUGUUGGGUUAAGUCCCGCAACGAGCGCAACCCCCUUUCUUAGUUGCUAACAGGUCAUGCUGAGAACUCUAAGGAUACUGCCUCCGUAAGGAGGAGGAAGGUGGGGACGACGUCAAGUCAUCAUGGCCCUUACGCCUAGGGCUACACACGUGCUACAAUGGGGUGCACAAAGAGAAGCAAUACUGCGAAGUGGAGCCAAUCUUCAAAACACCUCUCAGUUCGGAUUGUAGGCUGCAACUCGCCUGCAUGAAGCUGGAAUCGCUAGUAAUCGCAAAUCAGCCAUGUUGCGGUGAAUACGUUCCCGGGUCUUGUACUCACCGCCCGUCACACCAUGGGAGUUGUGUUUGCCUUAAGUCAGGAUGCUAAA